RNAcentral lists this long non-coding RNA (15790 nucleotides) under Citrus maxima (pomelo). RNAcentral describes it as "long non-coding RNA (CMAX_LNC000059)". The record is from RNAcentral. Lineage: Eukaryota; Viridiplantae; Streptophyta; Magnoliopsida; Sapindales; Rutaceae.
UGCAUUUGCUGCGACUCUGCGAGGCGAAAUAUCAAAUUAGUCCCUGUUGUUUGCGAAUGUAACGAAUAAGUCCACAAAUUUACCAUUUGUUUUAGAUUCAGUUUAUGGCUAUCGGCAGCGUCUUGUGGAGUUAAAUGCCUCGGAAUCGGAAAUGUACUUCCCACACAUAAAUAAAACAUAUUAGAAUGGGAUAAAAAUGAAAAUUCUUAUUUGAUCAUUUCUUAUAUCAGUUUGCAUGAUGCUGUUAUAUGCCAUAUUACUUGAUCCCGAGGCUUUUAUUUAUAUUCACUGUGCUAAGAAACCAUGAGGUGAAAAAAGAUAUCGCUUCUAGUUUUAUUGCAGGUUUAUUUGCUUCCUGAAAGCCUCAGUAAAUACAGAGUACUUUAUAUACAUUAAUUGUGAUCUAAAUCAAGGUUUGCUGUAUAUUGUAUUCAUAAAAGCGCCAAAUCACAGGGUCGAUAGUUGAUACAUGGCUCAUCAUCGUAAGUUACAUUUCAUCCCUCGUCGCCUCUGUGUAAUAAAAGCUCAUACAGGCUGGCUUCCGCUACUCUGCUCAACACAUUUAUGUUCAAUCAGCAAAAACAAAAACAAGGAACCAAUAAGUAGCUGAAAUUUAAGAAUAACAAAAGGGAAUGUGACAUGCAGUUAUAGAAAUUCACUGGCAGAUCAGUAAGCUGUCAAAUACCUGUUGAUGUAGGAGAGUCCAAUGUAAAAAGAGGUUAAAAAAAAAAAAAAUUGAGAAACCACAAGGGAAGAUAAUCCUAGCUAUAGAGAACUAGGCCUCCCAAGCUGCUCUAAUGAUACUGAAGUAAAUAUGUAUACCUAGUACAGUGGCGUUUUUCUCUCAGUUCUUGUACUUCAUGGUUUCCUUUUCAAACCCAAUUGUGGGGAAUUGCUUUGCAUACUCCUCAACAUCAUGGCGAAGUUUCGCAAUCUCGGAUUGGAAGUUAGCGGACUGUGUUGUGGCCACGAAAUCUUUCAACUUUGUUCCUGGUUUACAAAAUUAACAGCACCCAACUGCAUGUUAGUAGAUUCAACCACCUGGCUCACUAAACAGCACAAGCAUUGCAGCAUGAGUGAAGAUCAAACACACACAAACCCUAAGAGAACGAAAGUUAAGAUAAAAAAUAUUGGCAAGAACCUUGAGUUUCAGACUUGAUCUUCACAGCCAACUUCACAGCAGCAUCAAAGAAAUAUGCUACCUUGGCAAAAUCCUCCUCAACAAAUCCCCUAGAAGUAAGAGCCGGAGUUCCUGAAAUGCAAUUCAAUCCAUCAAGAAACAAUGCUCACACAGUGAUCGUAUAAGUAUGAUGUAAAUAAGUAAUAAGAAUAUGUAAUAAGAGUCCCUACCCAUCCUGAUGCCACCUGGAACCAUGGCCGACACAUCCCCAGGAACAGUGUUUUUGUUGGCUGCAAUAUGAACAGCUUCCAACACUUUUUCAACUCUGGAACCAUCAAUUCCCUGUUGAUGGAACAUUUUGGCAAAAAGUAAGAUCAUCCAACUUUUCAUGGUAAAACUAGUAAUAAAAGCAGUACAUGGAGCCAAACUCUCCAAUUUAUUCUAGUAACAAAAUAAGAUGUCUUAAAUUAACACUCACAGUACAUUAGUAAUUGGACAUCAUCCAGAACUAACACAAUAAAAGGAUAAAAAAGAUAAAUCUGAUACCUUGUUUUUCAAAUUCACCAACACUAGAUGGUUCUCAGUUCCACCAGAAACAAGUUCAUAGCCCAUCUCGAGCAGAGUCUGUUAAAUAGACAUUUUGGGCAGUUAAAACCCAGAAAGAUAGCAAGUUGCGCCCUCACAUUGAUGAGAGAAUGUUGCUCAAAUAUGCAAUAAAGACAAAGCUUUGUUAACAAGAUCUUGUUUUGCCAACAAUUUUGCUAUAUGUCAUGAAGCAUACCUGUGCAAAUUUUGAGCAAUUGCUCAGAACUUGCUCUUGAUAGGCUUUAUACUCUGGAGUAGUGGCCUGCAUCCAUGCCAAGUUAAAAAUUAUAAACUGAAAGUUUAAAUGGUAUUGAAAAUUGGUCAUUUGGCCAAAAAGGUUAAGAAGAAUAAAGGAAAUGCAUGAUAAUUCAGGAGAUGCCCCUUAAUGCUGGUCAAUAAACAAGUAUCCACAUUGGACAAAUAUCAAAACUGCCAAGGAUCUGUUUAUUGUUCGUGCUUUAUAUGAGCCAGUAACUCACAUAAUAUUAUAUGUUGUUACCUAAUGUUUCUCGUACUUUAGAAGUAUCCCACUAUACAAAACUGAUCCUGUAUUAGUUAGUAUACAAAUACACCGAUCCAUAAUAAAGGAAACAAAGCACUUCUUGGGCUACUUGAAGACCAUUUUAGUGUCUGCAGUAUGACAGUUGUAGCUUGGAAGGUGGAAUGGUGGCCAAGGCACUCAAUUGAACAUGACAACCUAACUAACGCAUAUAGGGUAAUGGUACAGACUGUUCCUGCCAUUCAAUUAUCUGACACAUGGCCUUCCCUUUUCUUCCUCAAUGUAUUCAGAGUUGUUCUGGUUUGAGACAAAAGCAGGAUACACAUGCAGAGAAAAAACAUGAAUAUGACUAAAUGUUAUCAAUGUGCAUACCUGUUUCAAGGCAACUGCUAAACCAGUAAUUGUGUGGUUGUGUGGGCCACCUUGGAGUCCAGGAAAGACAGCUUGAUUUAUUUUUUCUUCAUAAUCAUAAAACACCUGCAGGUAAACUCGUAGGCAUAAAGAUUUGCUUCAAUUAAACCAACAUAGUGUCCCUUCAAGAAAGAAUUAUACUAUAUACUCAAAACUAUUAUUUCAUUUUAACAACUCACCUCCUUCCCUUGUUUGUUAAUCUCUUUCACUCCCUUCCUAAAGAAAAUCAUGGCUCCACGUGGCCCACGAAGUGAUUUGUGAGUUGUGGUGGUCACAACAUCUGCAUACUCAAAAGGUGAAGGGAUGACACCAGCAGCAACCAAACCACUAAUGUGUGCCAUAUCUGCCAACAUUAUAGCUUUUUGUUUGUUGCAAACCUGUUAAAACACUUUAGAAUAUGAAACCUCAGACCUUCUAAACCAUCAAGACAGGCCAAAACCUUAAAAUUUGAUGUAGGACUAUCAUAAUUGGAUUAGACUGGAUCAACCUAAUGGAGAUUACCUUGCGAAUACGCUCAUAAUCAUACAAUCGUGCAUAAGCACUAGCACCAGCAACAAUCAAUUUUGGCCUGAAGAGGGUGGCACUUUUCUCCAACUGCAAUACAAUGAUUUAAGUCACAACACAUUUUACUUACAGAUAUAUUGAAAGGUAUAUACAACCAAUCAAUACCAUCUGAAACUGAAAACUCAUUUCUAUGCAUGGCUUAUUGAAGUUCGUCAACCUUCCCCAUCUGUCCAGACUUGUAUAUAAUGACCCAAAAUAUCAAAUUUGGUGAUAGAAAAAACAUGAAUGGAUAACUCGGAUGCAUGCUUAUCUUGACAAUUUCCUGCUAACCAUGAAGGACUAAAAUCAAUUGUUAAUGAAAUUGAAGAUUUUAUAGCUGUACGUCCAUAUAUUUGAUGGAGAGCACAUGUUAAAUCUUCAGCUUUGUAUACGAAAAUCAGAUAUCUUGCAAUUCGCAUGUGAGAAAAAGAAACAGCCUCACUAAUAUAGAAUUACUGCCAUAAAUUUUCAAGAUUUUCCACUUAAAGCGUAUCAGUAAUUAGUCUGUUCUACACAGCCUGAAUUCCACCUUUUGAUGACGCAACUUUUUCCAUUCACUUCAACUGCCAUGGUAUGAAAUUGUGUAAUCAUAGGGAAUUUAGUGGACCUAAAAGGGUACCAAAAAUAUUAAAAUUUCAAUACCUGGUCAUAGUCUAUAUAGCCAGUGCUCUCAUUCAAUCUGUAUGGCAUUGUCUCAAAAAAUAUGGACACUGCAGAUAUCUUUUUGGUAUCUGUCUGCAAAAUAAAAAUAACAGUAUUAAUUAUUUGAUGUUACAUUCAGUCAUAUAACAUGACCAGAAAAUAGAACAUAGACUAAUAAAUUUCUCCGUAAUUGAUGAAAAGUUGCAGACUAAGUCCAUUUUAAUAUGAGAAAUGAUGAGAUCAGGUUCAUUGGUUAUAUAAUACUACAGCUCCUGUAGCUUUAAAAUCUCUAAGGAUAAAGAAUCUGUGGAUAGUGAAUGUUAGGUAUGAUAAAAAUGGGAUUUCAUAGAUCUUGAUAUUGGUCAUUUAUAGCUUAAAUCCUAUUAUAGGGCCUUUAACCUGAAAGGUCUAGGAGAGCAGGACAGGUCAACAUACCUAUUAGAUAAAAUAAAAUAAAAAAUCUCUAGAAAUUACGAGUACCUGAUAGCCGUGUGAGAGAUGCCCACCAUGAGGAAGAUCAAGUGCCAUGAUCCUAUCAUGAGGUUUUAACAAUGCAGUGUAGACUUGAAAAUUAGAUGGAGAUCCAGACAGAGACUGCACAUUCACUGCAGCAUAACAGGGCAUAAUGAACAUGAGAAAGCAUUAAGUCAUCACAUGUAACAUAACUCCUCCCACAAACUUUUCUUUUCAAUUAUGAAGUCGCUUAGCUGUCUCCUUGACACCAAAGAAUGCUCUUAAAAUUGCCUUUGAUAAUGAACAUUUUGGUUAGUACCAAUCCUUUAAAGAUUCAUAAUUGACUGAUAAGUUGCAUAUGGGCAUUAUAAACAUCAAUACCUAUAGAAUUUUCGUACUGACAUACUUUCAGAAAAUUACUGCAGCAUUAGAAAAACAACAAGUAUUUUUCCGAGAAUUUCAAAUGACAAGUUUGCACCUCCCCAUUUUUCAGGAUCCAACCGAAAUGCUUCCAGAGCUCGCUUCUGACAUAAGGAUUCCGCCAUGUCAAUAUACCUGAGAAAUGACAGGUCCAUUUUCAACAGCUAAUUUAGUCACGAAGUUAAAGAAGUAGAUAUGAAGGAAUCAACUUCAUAAUUUUCCAGUCACUUAUAUCAGCUUAUUAUAAACAUCACAGAUUGAACUAAUUAGCUCAACAUACUCGUUUCCUCCAUAAUAUCUUGCACCUGGAUAUCCUUCACUGUACUUGUUGGUCAUGACAGACCCCACAGCUUGCAUCACGGAUACUGAAGUAAAGUUCUCUGAAGGAAUGAGUUCAAGUCCCUUCAAAAUCACACAAAAUUUAUUCCAGUAAGCUAUCCAAAUUUUUAAUGUAGUUGGAGCUUAACAGCAAGACAGAAACUAUAAAGUAAAAAAUAAAUUGAAUAUAGAUAAACUAUUUCAGAUAAUUCAGAAUUAUUUUUUCUAAAAAAAAGAAAUCCAUCCCAAAAGAAACCUGAAAUUUUCAUAUAUUGGAGAAAUAGUAAUCCAGAUACAGGCAAAAUUUUAUUUCAGCCAAAAGCAAGAGGGGUGAAUUAAAAUGAACAAAAGGUACUGUUAAGACAAAGUUAAUGAAUAAAUGGAUGUUCAUUUGAAAUUUUCUUUAAGAAGGACAAAAGAAAAAAAUAAAUAAACUCACAAAUGAUAUAAGGUUACCUUCCAUUGUCGUGCUUUUUCAUGCUCGAUAAUGUCAGCAAUCUCAGGAUCAACGACCUCAAGUGGAGCAUUCAGUUGUUUUGGCCACUGCCAUAUCCACAUGAAAAAUUAACAAAUUAAAUUAAAAAAAAACCAGUACGGUACAGAAUGGAAACGUAUGAAGGAAGCUAGAGAAAAAUUUAUCAACUUACAGUGACACCAUUUUUCUCUUUCUCGUAAACAGCUUCAUUUGGCAAAGAUGACUGCGAAAAGAAAAGGAAUGCAAAAAGAAAAGAAAAUUACAAAAAGAGCAAACAGAACAGAAUGAACCAUUUGAAAGUCCAAAGAAAAUGGUAUAAAAAUGAAAGAGGCAAAACAGACAGACCAUGUAGUAGAGGGAGGAGCCAUUGAAGAGAGGACGAGUGGGUUUGUCGAGGGAAGAUGAGAGCCUGCGAAGAGCCAGAGCCAUGGCCAUUUUUGCUUCUCACUCUCCCGCUGCAAGAUGUUGUUCUGUUUCUUCUUUGUUUGUUGUAUGAUUAUGGUUAUGGCUAUGAGGGUGAGUUUUUUUCUUUUUUCCUUUUUUUUUUCGGUGGUUGGAGUAAAAUUUUCUGUUUGAAAAUUAUGGCUUUGUCGUUUCCGUUGUGAACUGGGUUGUCGUUCGUUCCAUGUCUCUGCCUCUAUUUUUUUCCCACUAAAAUUUGCCUUCAAACAGAAGUAAAUUCUUCUUCCUUUGCUCUCACUCACCUACAACGGACUCACCAAAUUUAUCAACUAUAAAUUAAGGAUUAUAUAAUUCUCAAUUGUUGUAAAUCACCAAUCUAUAACAAAAAUAAAGAGUAAUAAAAACAAAUCAUAUAAAUUUAGAGAUACUUAAUUCAAUCAAUCGAGUUAUAUCUGAAUAAAUUUAUAAUUUUAAUUUUAUCCAAAAAUAAAUGACCAGUCAAUAACGAGUAAAUUCUUUAUAAAUUUUGAGCUAAACAUCAAGUAAAGGCGAUAAAAUUGUUCUUUCGAUAUUCUAUAAUUUCUAGUUCAUAAAUUCCUUAAUUUUAGGUUCUCGAUUAUCGAAAAUGACAAAAAUAAAUACGUAAAUGUGUGUGGUUUGCGAUGAUUAAGAUUGGUUCUAAAUUUAUCAUCAUUGUGUGUACAUGAAUGGGUGUCCGAUGCAUCAAUUCUUUAUUUAUUAGGAAAAUGCUAGGCAAUAAAGAUUACAAUGUUGAUUGAAAAUACUGAAACUAAAAUUCGAAAAGCUAAGGUCGGAUUGAAAAAACUAAAUUGAUAAAAGGCCUAUAAAAACCAGCCGUGAAAUCCCUAUCCAAAUUCCACCGUUUCUUAGCCACAAAGUGAAUGUGGGAUAUCCUAUCUUGUUCUUGUGAGGCAAAUGUGACCACAUAAACUUUGAUUUGAACGGUUCUUCUACCACCAAACACAGAGUCUCAAACUCCUGCAUUGUGUCACUUUCUCAGACAUUUUAUUUUCACUCAAAGUCUGUCUUCUGGGCGUGAAUUUUAGAUCCAUGUCUUAUUAUUCACGAAAAGUCUCAACUGAUAUGGGCCUGGAAUUACACACACGGCCUGGAUAAAAUCACUCAUUUAUCUUCGUUGGGCUUCGAGAUUUGCCAACUUGCAAGGAGCACCUAACAUAUGGACCAAAUUCUUGUGUUUCAGGUUAAUUUUAAAAGCACUAGGGCAUAUUGUUUGUUUGUUAAGCAAAAUGUGGACUGAGGGUUUGUGCUAGGGUGAUGUUUAAUUAAUUCUACUAAUGUACUGAUUCCAUAUUUCCAUUUCGGAUUGAAAGAUACAACAAUUCGAUUCGAAACUGGCUUACACUCAUCAACCAAUAAUAUUGACAAGAAUCAAUUUUCCUUUUGUUGCCAAACAAGAAACUGGGCUUCGACCACUAUAUUUGUGGGUUACAAUUACCUGUUGGCCAUAAUCCUUUCAAUUAAACAAUCAUUAUUUUUAAUACGAAAUAUUACUCUGGGGAGCUAUUAUUUUAUUGGGUGGGUGGCUCUUAUCACCCUUUCAAUUUCUUAAAAAGAUAGUUUAAGUACUUUAUUUGACGUAUAUUUCUUUAUUUGACGUAUAGUUUAAAAUUCUAUGCCUUUUGACAACUCUCAAAUCCCUCUUAAAACACAUUUUUUUAAUUGAAAUUACUUAAAUAACCUAACACAUACUAAAUCAUUUCUUAUUUGGAAUGGAAAUUCAACUAAAAACUUAAAUAAAUUAUUCUUUACACAAACUUCUUAUACCCACCUCAUUUCAUAAUUUAUAAUUAUAUUUUAAAAUUUAACUGAAGAAUUUUCUUUCUUAGACAAUUAUAAGAGUUUAGAAUUAUAAAGAUAGAAAUUAUAUAAUAAGAAAAAAGUUUUAAGAUAAAUUUAAUAUUUUAGGAUUUGUGUGCAAAUUAAAAAGAAAACAUUUUUUGACUAAAAUUUUAUGGGAAGAGUAAUAAUAACAAUAAUAAUGUAAACUCAUUACUUGAAGGGAACAAGUUGAACAUAUUUCUGAGAUGACUUUAUAUGCCAUUCGCUCACUUUGAAAAUUUAAAGAAUAUAGAAAAUGUAGAUAAAAACGGAGAAAGCAGCAAUCCUGACAUCAGCUAAACAAAAAUAUUAGAUUUAAUCUCAAAUAAUAAUAUAAUAAAACCCAUAAAAAAUAUCAGAUUCAGGCAAGUCCAAAUGGCAAGGAUAUAUAUUCUUUCUUUUGUUAUUGCAUGUUUUCUGGUUGAUACAUAUCUUUCUAGUUGGUUGUUGAAUCGGAAAUGCCCAUUAUAUAAUCCCAUAUAAAAAUAUUUUAUAUAUUGGGAAAUUGUUGGUUUGAACUUUGCCCAACUUUGCCCACAUCCUAACCCUCUAUCUUUAUUUUAAUAGUAAUAACAACAAUAAUAAUGUAAACUCAUUACUUGAAGGGAACAAGUUGAACACAUUUCUGAGAUGACUUUAUAUGCCAUUCGCUCACUUUGAAAAUUUAAAGAAUAUAGAAAAUGUAGAUAAAAACGGAGAAAGCAGCAAUCCUGACAUCAGCUAAACAAAAAUAUUAGAUUUAAUCCCAAAUAAUGCUUGAAGUCCCAUCAUUUUUACUUAGUUUUCUAUUUAAAGUAUGGAAGAAAUAUGAAAAAAUUUAUGAUUGCGUCAUUAAAAUUACGGUAUUAAUAUUGUGAUUAAAAUAAAUUUUUUAAAUUCCAUAUAAGAAUAGUAAAUUAAAAUUAAAAUUAAUAAAUUAAUAUAAGAAUGGUAAAUUAGUGUUUUAAAAUUACAAAUAAAAUAAACUCUUGUAAAAAUGAAAUAAACUUAUAAAUCAAUAUUAAACUUUAAUUUUAAUAAAAUAGUUUAUUUAUUUAAUUUAUUUGAGCAAAGAAAAAAUUUACUCAUCAAUUGAAAAUAAAAUUUUUUUUAAUGAAAACAAUUAGAAUAAGUUCUAUUAAAUUGGUUUACCAUAAAUUCUAAUUCAUGUUAAGACAUUUAAAAUCUUAGCGUCUAAUCAUCAGGCCCUACUAAAGCCUGGCCAGACCCAGAGUCCCAGACUGAGUAUUUUAUUUUUGGUCACCCCAUUGGCACUUAUAUUUUCCAAAGCUACCAUCGAAAAUCAAAACAAAAUAAGACCUGCAUCGUAUAUAAUAUACAUAUCACGGGGAAUUGUUGAUCCUUAAAACAUAUAUCUAAUACGACGCUAGAUUUCUUUUUUCUAGUAAAAGGUAGGGCAAUAAUUGUACUGUUUCCAACAAUUUCGUCUUGACGAUGGAUUGACUAUUGUUUGUUCUGUUUUUGCUUGGAAUUGGUAAGCAUUUAGCUUACUGAAACGUAAGCUACUGUCCAAGCUUUGAUAAUGAAAGUUGCCAUGGUUUCCUUGAGAAAAGACUUCUAAACAACCUAUUUAUUUUUAUAUAAUUCCACAGCUAAUAUUACCUUUUGAUGCAGCUUCUCGGAGAUACAAUCGAUAAUUAUUAAUUGUCUUUCAAUUAGCUUUAUAGCUGCACUAUUACAAAGGUUAAUUAAGCUCCACGGACACGUUGUACCUCUGCUUCAUGUUGUUUCACCCUUUUGCCUUGGUCAAUUUACCUUUCUUCAUUUUCUUUAUUGUUCUUCUGCCCUCGCCCAGUUCACAAGUUUCCUUCCGUAUGCCUAGUUUUGACCCUGGUGAAAAAAAAGAAGAAAAAAUACUAUAUCAGGGAGAUGCAAUAUCUUCAGUUGGAGCCAUUGAAUUAACCAAAAACAACGAAUAUCUAUGUCGUGUGGGUUGGGCUACUUAUGCUGAGAGAGUGUCGCUCUGGGACUCUGACACAGGUAAGCUAACUGACUUCAGCACCAAAUUCUCCUUCCAAAUAGACACCCUGGGUGGGUCGUCCCACUUACGGCCACGGGCUCGUAUUUUUCUUAGCUCCUGUUGGAUUUCAGAUUCCUUCGAAUUCAGCUGGUGGCUUCUUAGGGCUGUUUAACACCACAGCUUCUUUCUCUUCUACAAAUCAUAUCGUCUCGGAGGAGUUUGAUUCCAACUCAAAACCCUGAGUGGGAUCCCCUUGAUGUUAAGGACCAUGUCGGAAUCAACAAUAACUCAAUUUCUUCAGCUGUCUCCACCCACUGGAACGUCAGCUUCCACAGACAAGAUACUGCUGAUGUGCAGAUUGCUUACAAUUCUACUACUAAGAAUUUGAGUGUGUCUUGGACCUAACGACUGACCCCUGAUCCUCGGGAGGAUACUAGUUUGUUUUACAUAAUUAAUCUGAUGAAAGUUCUAACACAGUGGGUGACAAUUGGCUUCUCAGCUGCUACAGGCCAGUUUGGAGAGCGACAUAUACUUGAAUAGUAGUUCAGCUCAAGCUUGGAUAUUAAAAGUACAAAUGGAACUGAUGGUAAAAAGAUCAGAAUAAUAGUUGCUUUUACAGUACCAAUUGGUGGUCCGAUAGCUGCAGCGAUAACGGGACUGUUGAUUUUGCAGAGGCAGAAGAAGGAAAGAAAUCUGCUGCAGAAAGAGAAACCUUAACUUCGAUAAAUGAGGACCUUGAAAGAGGAGCAGGACCAAGAAGAUUUUUUUAUAGAGAUCUUGCUUCUGCAACCAGCAACUUUCCCAAGAACAAAAUGUUGGGCUAAGGAGGGUUUGGUUCUGUUUACAAGGGUUAUCUUAUUGAUUUGGAUAUGGCUGUUGCUGUCAAGAAGGUUUCAAGAGGAUCUAAAUAAGAGAAAAAGGACUAUGUAACCAAGGUGAAGACAAUUAGCCAGUUGAGGCAUCGUAAUCCGGUGCAACUCCUAGGCUGCUGCCAUGACAGAGGCGAAUUCUUGCUUGUGUACGAGUUCAUGCCAAACGGUAGCCUUGAUGCUCGCCUGUUUGGCAAGAAGAGUCCUCUUGCUUGGGCUGUAAGGUACAUGAUUUCUCUCGGUUUGGCCACGGCUUUGCUCUAUCUUCAUGAAGAAUAGGAGCAAUGCAUUGUGCACAGGGAUACCAAAUCGAGCAAACUAAUGUUAAAUGUUGACGUCGAAAUUUGGACUAGUCAGUUACUAACUGGAUAAUAAAUCUUUGUGUUAUCAUUAAAUUUAUUUGUUGGGGAAGCAGUUUACGAUCACUAGCAGAUAACUCGCAAACACCUGAAAUCACAAAUACCAGUAAGAGGCACCAAAAAAUUUUCCGGUGUGAACCCUCCAACGCCCAAGUCAGUUAUCGGGUUUAUAGGAAAAACAAAAUAUGUAAUUUCUAGUUUUUAUGAAUAAAUAAUCUUAAGUAAAUGGAAUAGUAAAAUCAAAACAGAGAAAGAAAGUUCCACCUCUCCUGACAUGAUUUUCUUGGAGUUUUUAUAAACACCCCAUCCCCACGACCUUAGAUCAUGGCAAUUGAUUGACAUUAAAAAGUGUACAUUCAAUGAAGAUAAAAUUAUCAAUUUUUCACUUAUUGUGUAGAUUAAUGCGCUCAUUAUUCUUAAAUUAUUUUAAUACUCUCCAAAUAUAUUUAUGUUAAAUUAAUUUGUAACUUUGUAAUAUGUUAAUUUUAUUUUAAUUUUAUUGUAGAUAUAUUUCAAGAAUAAGGAGGAGUUGGAACUGGAAGCGAGAACAAAGAAAAAUUACUGGAGUAUUUUGAAAUGUAUUAUUGAGGAGAUGUAAUUAAUAAAAAAAAUAUUUCAAAAAAAAUAAAAAAAGAAUAAAAGGUAAGCAACCAUGCUUUGGUUGCUCGUGAUGGUCAAGUGGCCAUGUGAAUUGUUUCUUUUUCUUUUUUUGUUGUGUAAUCAACUUCCUUAUAAUAUAUUUUAAAAGUCGGUUAAAUAAAAAUAGUGUUUUAUUUUCUUUCAAUACGAGUGGAUAAUUUUACUAAGUUAAGGUGAAGGAUGAAACUCAAGGUUUCAAAUUAUUAAAUUAAUUGCUUUCUCAAGUGAGUUUUAAGUUUAUUUUAUUUUUUUAAUGAUUAUUUUUAUGUCAUGUUAAUUUAUAAAUUUUAUUGAAUCUGUAUUGUAUUUUAACAUAAUGGCAACAUAUUAAUAUAGUUGUGGCACAUUAAGUACUUGAUUUCAUAUUUAUCCACACACAUAGUUAAUUAAAAAUUAAAUGAUAUAAUAAUUAACUGGUAAAAGUGAGGCAAAAUAUAAAAAAAUGAGAGAGUAGUAAAAUUAUAGUUUGAAUACUGAGAGUGGAUCCCGUAACCUUAGCAUAUUUUUAAAUUAAUUCAUAGUGAUUUCUUUUCCCGCAAUUAAUUUUCUUUAUUUAACAAAUUGGCUACUAGAUUUUAAAUUUUAUGUGGUUCGACCCCAGACUCAUCGGGUUAUAUUAUAAUUAGAAACUCUUAUACUUGGGAGUAAUAACACUUUUGAGUCAUGUCAGCAAUAAAUAACCAUUAAUGAAUUAAAUUCGUGCUAUGAUUUUUUGGAGGAGAUUUGUAGCAAUUAUUUUGACUGAGUCUUGCUUCCUAGUGACUUGGUCUAAUGUCUCUUCCUAUCCACUCGAGGUCACUAGAAUUACAUCAUGGUCGAGGUGGCUUACUCGAGGUCACCAGAAUUACCUCCUGGUCGAGGUGGUAUGCUCAUGGUCUCAAGAAUUACCACCUAGUUGAGGUGGCCUAUUCGAGGUUAUCAAAAUUACCAUAUGGUUGAGGUGGCCUGCUCGAGGUCACCACAAUUUUCUCCUAAUAGUCUAUCAACUAUUUACUUACUCUUUACCUCGAGGAGAUCAUGAUCACCCUAUUUUAUUCCCCAAACAUUAGAUUUUAAUUUUAAUGCCAAAUUAGGCGACUUUGGAUUAGCCAGGCUGAUGGACCAUGAGCUUGGUCCUAAGACUAUUAUGCUGGUAGGAACUUUAGCCUACAUGGCCUCUGAAUACAUUAGCACAGGCAGGGUUAGUAAAGAGUUAGAUGUGUUCAGCUUUAGAGUAGUUGCCUUAGAAAUUGCUACUGGAAGAAAAGUGAUUAAUCGUUACAAAGCACAGAAACUUCGAACUCAGUUUGUGGUUCCUCAUCCCUGCUCCAAUACUGGAUCAGUUGAGAAACUGGGAGUCGAAGGCGAGAAGGCUGUGCUUGGGGGAAGCAGUAAGAACUACUGUCCAAAACUGGUGGCUUGGGUCUGGGAUUUUUAUGGAGAAAGAAAGCUACUUUCAGCUGCUAAUGAGAGACUGGAUUCGAGAUUUGAUGAGCAACAAAUGACAUGUUUGUUGAUUGUUGGAUUAUGGUGUGCUCACCCUGACCGUUGUUUCAGGCCUUCCAUAAGGCAUGCUAUUCAAGUCCUUAAUUUUGAAACAACAAUGCCAAAUCUUCCAUCAAAAAUGCAUGUUCCAAGUUAUCAUGUGCCUACACCAUCUGUCAGCUAUGGCGAACCUUUCAUUACAAAUUCAAGCUUUGAAGUUGGUCGUUGAGCUUGAGCCUGUUCAUUUCUUGUAUGUUUUCUUUUAUGUUGUAAUGAAUGAAAAUAAAUAUGUUGAAUAAACCUCUGGGAUUUAUAGGAAGUUACAAAUUUAUAACAUUGAUAGUUGUUUGAAUUUGUAUGCACUAUAUGUAUGUGGAAAGUAUUUCAUAUUUGAUAUUUAUGAAAGGAAUAACUGAGCAAUUUUAGUAUAUUUGUACAAUAUGGACAAUUCUUCUUAUGGCAUUCUUAGAAGUAAAAUAUUUUGUGAACAAAUUAUGUUGUGUUGUUCUUCGAACAGCACCUGAACAGGUGACUGGUGUGGGGCAAAUUGCCAAUUCAUAGAUUUUUAAUUUUUUUCAGCUAACAUCUAAAGCCAGAGCAAAGGGAAGAUACACGUUAGGAUUAAGGAUUGUUGUUCCUUAAAUAAGAAGCUCAAGAUCUUUUAUCAAUAAUUGUGUUCCUAUCACCGUUCAUUCUUAUAUUUAGCUUGGAAAUUAGAAUUGGUAAGAAUUUAUGGUGUUUUUACUAAUUAAUAAUCGGAAUGGACUGAAAUGAAAAUAAGAAUAAAUUAUUUAAUUUAGAUCUGGAAAUCGGAAUCAGAAUAAACUGUAUUGCCAUUAAUGUGUUUACUUUAUCUUGGAAUCAUAAUGGAUUGUUACAAGUUAUUAAAUUGACCUUAGUUGAUUAUUGUCAUUAUUUAUAACAACAACAACAACAACAAUUAUUGUUAAUAAUAAUUAUAAUAUUUCUUAUUAUUUAUAAUCAUUGUAUUCCUAGUAGUAGACUAGUAGGAGUAGUAAUAAAUAUUAAUUAUAAUGAUUAAUAAUUAUAAUUAAUAUUAAUAAUUUUUUUUUAUUCUUAUGAUGAUGAUGAUAUAAUGAAGGAUAAAAUGAAAAUUUCAAGAUUUAAAUGGGGUAAUAUAGUCAGUUUAAGAAAUAUGAUUCUCAUUCCUACCUCUAUCUAUAAGAAUGAAAACUCUAGUAAUCAUUUUUAAUUUUAGGUGGGGUCAGCCAAUUUGUUUCUCAUUCCAUAUAUCAUUUAAGUAAGUAAAUAUAUCAUUUAUUCUCAUUUCUUAAUUUCCACUCUCAUUCUCAAUUAGUAGUAAACACACCAUUAAUUUAAUGAAACUUAAGUUGAUGUCCAAUAAGCUUAGGUAACCUUUGAUUAUGAAAGGUUAGUAAUUAUAUCACUAUAUUUUUUAGGAUCAUUUUAAUGAUUGAGGUGAAGUUGACCCUAUCGUGCCGGCGAUAUUUCUGUCAUCUCAAUCUUUCUAUACCAUUUUAUCUUUCGAUACGUUGGUCGUUAAGCUAGUUUUUCGAAUGCUAAUUAUUUUUACACAGUCUUGUGUUUUCAAUUGAACAUAUGUUAGUAUGCAUGAUUAAAUGGUGUUGAUUGAAUACAUUAACGAUAAUGCUAUUUUUGCUAAAUUCAAAUAUCUAAUUGAGAUACACACUGAUCUGUUACCAAUAAUUUAAUAUUAUGUGUUUAAUAUUAACUGAUUUUAUUAAUAAUUAUUAACUUAUUAUUUUUACAAUACAUAUAAUUAUGACACAUAAAAUAUCACAUCAUUAAAUAACUCAAUUGAGUCAUGAAAAUUUUCAUUACCAAUUUAUUGUCGCGGGAAGCCGAGAGCAUGCUCAAAAAAAUUCAACCGCAUUUGCGGCGACUCUGUGAGGUGAAAUAUCAAAUCAGUCCCUGUUGUUUGCGAAUGUAACGAAUAAGUCCACAAAUUUACCAUUUGUUUUAGAUUCAGUUCAUGGUAUCGGCAGCGGAUUGUGGAGUUAAAUGCCUCGGAAUCGGAAAUGUACGUCCCACACAUAAAUAAAACAUAUUAGAAUGGUAUAAAAAUGAAAAUUCUUAUUUGAUCAUUUCUUAUAUCAGUUUGCAUAAUUUUGUUAUAUGCCAUGUUACUUGAUUCCGUUUUGGAUUAAGAUUUAAUGCUGAGUUUUUUUUUUUUUUUUUAGCACUGAAUCAAUAAUUAAGAUUUAUUUAAAUUUUUAUUUUUUUAUUUCUCUUAACUAACAAUUAUUGAUUCAGUAUUCAAUAAAAACUCAACUCAAUACUGAAUUCUUUUAUUUAUAUUCACUGUGCUAAGAAACCAUAAGGAGAAAGAAGAAAUCCCAUCUAGUUUUAUUGCAGGUUUAUUUGCUUCCUGAAAGCCUCAGUAAAUACAAAGUAUUUAUAUACAUUAAUUGUGAUCUAAAUCGAGGUUUGCUGUAUAUUGUAUUCAUAAAAGCGCCAAAUCAAAGGGUCGAUAGUUGAUACAUGGCUCAUCAUCACAAGUUACAUUUCAUCCCUCGUCGUCUUUGUGUAGUAAAAGCUCAUACAGGCUGGCUUCUGCUGCUCUGCUCAACACAUAUAUGUUCAAUCAGCAAAAACAGAAACAGAGAACCAAUAAGUAGCUGAAAUUUAAGAAUAACAAAAGGGAAUGUGACAUGCAGUCAUAGAAAUUCACUGGCAGAUCAGUAAGCUGUCAAAUACCUGUUGAUGUAGGAGAGUCCAAUGUAAAAAGAGGUUAAAAAAAAAUUGAGAAACCGCAAGGGAUGAUAAUC